Molecule: ribosomal RNA, 253 nt
Filed under: uncultured bacterium
Lineage: Bacteria
Description: partial 16S ribosomal RNA
Rfam family: Bacterial small subunit ribosomal RNA
Source: RNAcentral
UACGGGGGGGGCAAGCGUUGUUCGGAAUUACUGGGCGUAAAGGGUGCCUAGGCGGUUUGCUAAGUUGGAUGUGAAAACUCUGGGCUCAACCCAGAGCCUGCAUCCAAAACUGGCAGGCUAGAGUUCUGGAGGGGGUAGCGGAAUUCCUGGUGUAGCGGUGAAAUGCGUAGAGAUCGGAAGGAACACCAACGGCGAAAGCACUCUGCUGGGCCGACACUGACACUGAGAGACGAAAGCUAGGGGAGCGAAUGGG